This 297-nucleotide long non-coding RNA is filed under the name Setaria italica (foxtail millet). Its description in RNAcentral is "long non-coding RNA (SITA_LNC004644)". Lineage: Eukaryota; Viridiplantae; Streptophyta; Magnoliopsida; Poales; Poaceae. The record is from RNAcentral.
CUAUCUAUUCUUCUCAAUCAGGAUCAGGUAACAACAUAAAGUUUAUGAUUUUAUAUAGUUAUAUCGCAUACUACCUCCGUUCUUAAAUAUAUAUCGUUAGCUGAUUUGCUUGUCAUCAAUGCCCUAUUUUCAUUCGAGAACGGAGGGAGAGCAAUAUCUUAUCUUUAGAUGUUUCUUUGAUCUCUUUCUAUAGUGCUAUUACAUACAGUUCUCCAUGUUAUGGCUUUGCACGUAAAGAGUUACAAGCACAGCAGUGAGAUAAGUGUUGUCAGACAUGCAUGCGAUGAUAUGAUGAGC